GAGUUUGAUCCUGGCUCAGAUUGAACGCUGGCGGCAGGCCUAACACAUGCAAGUCGAGCGGCAGCGGGUCCUUCGGGAUGCCGGCGAGCGGCGGACGGGUGAGUAAUGCCUAGGAAUCUGCCUGGUAGUGGGGGAUAACUCGGGGAAACUCGAGCUAAUACCGCAUACGUCCUACGGGAGAAAGCGGGGGAUCUUCGGACCUCGCGCUACCAGAUGAGCCUAGGUCGGAUUAGCUAGUUGGUGAGGUAAAGGCUCACUAAGGCGACGAUCCGUAGCUGGUCUGAGAGGAUGAUCAGCCACACUGGAACUGAGACACGGUCCAGACUCCUACGGGAGGCAGCAGUGGGGAAUAUUGGACAAUGGGCGAAAGCCUGAUCCAGCCAUGCCGCGUGUGUGAAGAAGGUCUUCGGAUUGUAAAGCACUUUAAGUUGGGAGGAAGGGCAGUAAGUUAAUACCUUGCUGUUUUGACGUUACCGACAGAAUAAGCACCGGCUAACUUCGUGCCAGCAGCCGCGGUAAUACGAAGGGUGCAAGCGUUAAUCGGAAUUACUGGGCGUAAAGCGCGCGUAGGUGGUUUGAUAAGUUGGAUGUGAAAGCCCCGGGCUCAACCUGGGAAUUGCAUCCAAAACUGUCUGACUAGAGUAUGGCAGAGGGUGGUGGAAUUUCCUGUGUAGCGGUGAAAUGCGUAGAUAUAGGAAGGAACACCAGUGGCGAAGGCGACCGCCUGGGCUAAUACUGACACUGAGGUGCGAAAGCGUGGGGGAGCAAACAGGAUUAGAUACCCUGGGUAGUCCACGCCGUAAACGAUGUCGACU
This 815-nucleotide ribosomal RNA is filed under the name uncultured Pseudomonadota bacterium. Its description in RNAcentral is "bacterial SSU rRNA". It matches the Rfam family "Bacterial small subunit ribosomal RNA", at positions 9 to 817 of the family's 1533-position model. The record is from RNAcentral. Lineage: Bacteria; Pseudomonadati; Pseudomonadota.